Molecule: ribosomal RNA, 465 nt
Filed under: Vreelandella stevensii
Lineage: Bacteria; Pseudomonadati; Pseudomonadota; Gammaproteobacteria; Oceanospirillales; Halomonadaceae
Description: partial 16S ribosomal RNA
Rfam family: Bacterial small subunit ribosomal RNA
Source: RNAcentral
CCUACGGGCGGCUGCAGUGGGGAAUAUUGGACAAUGGGGGCAACCCUGAUCCAGCCAUGCCGCGUGUGUGAAGAAGGCCCUCGGGUUGUAAAGCACUUUCAGCGAGGAAGAACGCCUGGUGGUUAAUACCCAUCAGGAAAGACAUCACUCACAGAAGAAGCACCGGCUAACUCCGUGCCAGCAGCCGCGGUAAUACGGAGGGUGCGAGCGUUAAUCGGAAUUACUGGGCGUAAAGCGCGCGUAGGUGGCUUGAUAAGCCGGUUGUGAAAGCCCCGGGCUCAACCUGGGAACGGCAUCCGGUACUGUCAAGCUAGAGUGCGGUAGAGGAAAGUGGAAUUCCCGGUGUAGCGGUGAAAUGCGUAGAGAUCGGGAGGAAUACCAGUGGCGAAGGCGGCCUUCUGGACUGACACUGACGCUGAGGUGCGAAAGCGUGGGUAGCAAACAGGAUUAGAUACCCGGGUAGUC